GGUCGCCAGGCGUAAGAAGAUUAGCUCACGGUCGUGAAUGUCUUCUGCAUGAGACCUGUUUGUGGAUAUGCCGGCGUACACUACCGUUGAUUGUUGUGAUCGUCGGCUAUCGGAACUGCAAGAUGAGGUCCAUCUGCCUGGAUUGGUUAUCAAGAAGAGCAUCCAUGGGGCCAUGGUGGCUGCCACGAGCAGACAUGCUGGGGUAUCUGGUAAAAAAGAACUAUACAAUUAUACAAUUAAGUUGAUGGCAAUGUUGGGAGUGUUUGGAGCAAUUAUUAAUAUCAUAAAGAUGUCUAACCGUGACUAUCAUUUGACUGCAACUUCAUUGGCAAAUAUGCCUCAGCUUCAUUGGGAAAUAUGUCACACUUCAUUAUUCUUGAGCGAGAAGAACUUCAUUCUAUUAAAUGGAAUUCGUGUGCUGCAAUUAGCGACUGCAACUUCCUUGGCAAAUAGGCCUCCGUGUGACUUGUGGCGCGAUGAUUUCCUCGGAAAGGUACCGGUAUGUGUGCGCCGGUAACAACUCGUCAAGCAGGCCAGCGCUACAGUUCUUUCUCUGGGUGCCAUUCGUGUCUAUACCUUAAACAUGUUCUAGGAACCGGUGGAAAAGAAUACUAGCAAUAUUGUCCAAUCAACAAGAUCAAGGUGGAGCAAGGAGGAACAGUCAGCAGAUUUCACAUUUAUUUUGCUAAAGCUGCAUGUUAUUGCAAUUAAAAAUUAGUGUGCCUUUGCUCAGCGGGCUAUCAUGGAGUUCUCGUUGAGUCAUUGUUGGGCAUGUUUGCGGCUAGAUGAUGACAGAUUUGAUCCUGCUGAUCAACACCACGUUGUCUAGAUGUUGGUCUUUCAUGGCAAGAUCAUUUGUGGAUUUUGAAAUGCUUUGUCCUUACCUAUAUGUGCUAGAGAAAGAAAGACUUCAGAAGUUCACGGCAGAACUUUGACAAGUGUUUGGCAUUGUUCGUAGACGCAAUACUCAAAUUAUCCCCGUGAUGCCAAAGUGAGUUUCUUCCUCUCAAAUUAAGCACUUGAUAUGUUUACCAUUAGUAUUAUAUUACUUUCAUCAAUGAUUAAGGUUGAUGGGUGAGGUUUUCAUCCUUAUACGUCACCAUACAUGGCAUUAUUCAUCACCAUCAUGUUUCUGGCUUAUUACAAUUUGCUUCGUAUUGUUAUAGUUGUCCUAUAAUUGCUCUUGAUAUCUUGAAUCAUCAUAUUCUUGUGUGGUAAUGAUCUGUUUGGUGGUUUUCCAUAACCCAUAGGUUCCUUCGUGGGAGAUUUUCAUGGACGCAUGGGCUGACUUGAUGUGGUUGGUUUUGUGAUCUACUAGCUUGGGUUUUCCUCUGCAUUUGAAAUAGAGUAGUAUGCCUUUAAUGCCAUCUGUACUUUUUCAUAUAAAGAAAUGAAAGGUUGUUGCA
Molecule: long non-coding RNA, 1406 nt
Organism: Lolium rigidum
Lineage: Eukaryota; Viridiplantae; Streptophyta; Magnoliopsida; Poales; Poaceae
Exons: 8
Source: RefSeq, a predicted model, not a curated record